Mycena latifolia is the source of this 99-nucleotide non-coding RNA. The record is from the annotation of a GenBank genome assembly. Lineage: Eukaryota; Fungi; Basidiomycota; Agaricomycetes; Agaricales; Mycenaceae.
GGUCUGAUAGCAUAACAAGUUAGUGCACCUGCAUCAAAUGUAGUCUUUCCUUCAAACUGAUUUCUGCAGAAGAUCCCUGUUCAAUCCGGGGUCAGGCCA